Molecule: ribosomal RNA, 446 nt
Filed under: uncultured bacterium
Lineage: Bacteria
Description: bacterial SSU rRNA
Rfam family: Bacterial small subunit ribosomal RNA
Source: RNAcentral
AACGAACGCUGGCGGCAUGCCUAACACAUGCAAGUCGAACGAGACCUUCGGUCUAGUGGCGCACGGGUGCGUAACGCGUGGGAAUCUGCCCUUGGGUUCGGAAUAACAGUUAGAAAUGACUGCUAAUACCGGAUAAUGUCUUCGGACCAAAGAUUUAUCGCCCAGGGAUGAGCCCGCGUAGGAUUAGCUAGUUGGUGAGGUAAAGGCUCAUCAAGGCGACGAUCCUUAGCUGGUCUGAGAGGAUGAUCAGCCACACUGGGACUGAGACACGGCCCAGACUCCUACGGGAGGCAGCAGUGGGGAAUAUUGGACAAUGGGCGAAAGCCUGAUCCAGCAAUGCCGCGUGAGUGAUGAAGGCCUUAGGGUUGUAAAGCUCUUUUACCCGGGAUGAUAAUGACAGUACCGGGAGAAUAAGCCCCGGCUAACUCCGUGCCAGCAGCCGCGGU